AGAGUUUGAUCCUGGCUCAGAAUCAACGCUGGCGGCGUGCCUCAGACAUGCAAGUCGAACGCGAAAGCCUCCUUCGGGGGGCAAGUAGAGUGGCGCACGGGUGAGUAACACGUAGGUAAUCUACCUUUGGAUGGGGAAUAACAACCGGAAACGGUUGCUAAUACCGCAUAAUGCAGCGGCACCUAAUGGUGACAGUUGUUAAAGCGGGGGAUCGUAAGACCUCGCGUCUAAAGAGGAGCCUGCGGCAGAUUAGCUAGUUGGUAAGGUAACGGCUUACCAAGGCGAUGAUCUGUAGCCGGCCUGAGAGGGCGGUCGGCCACACUGACACUGACAUACGGGUCAGACUCCUACGGGAGGCAGCAGUCGGGAAUUUUGGGCAAUGGGCGAAAGCCUGACCCAGCAACGCCGCGUGAAGGAUGAAAUCCCUCGGGAUGUAAACUUCGCAAGAACGGGAAGAAUAAACCGGUGUUAACACCACCGGCGAUGACGGUACUGUUUGUAAGCUCCGGCUAACUCCGUGCCAGCAGCCGCGGUA
RNAcentral lists this ribosomal RNA (535 nucleotides) under uncultured Acidobacteriota bacterium. RNAcentral's name for it is "bacterial SSU rRNA". It matches the Rfam family "Bacterial small subunit ribosomal RNA", at positions 8 to 522 of the family's 1533-position model. Lineage: Bacteria; Pseudomonadati; Acidobacteriota. The record is from RNAcentral.